RNAcentral lists this long non-coding RNA (427 nucleotides) under Chrysemys picta bellii (western painted turtle). RNAcentral's name for it is "lncRNA (ENSCPBG00000020773.1)". The record is from RNAcentral. Lineage: Eukaryota; Metazoa; Chordata; Testudines; Emydidae.
GCAGCCUGAGCCGGGCUGGGCGGCCCGAGCCCCGGAGCCGGGCUCCAGCCGUGCCCAACAGAUCUGCACACGUUUGGCCAGGCUGCCAGCUUUCUGGGGCACUUCAUCCUCAGACAACGGCCCCCAUGUCUCGGCAUGAGAAAGGACAUUGUGGACCUGACUUUCCCAUCACUCUGAUCUAGUAACGUUUUAUACCCACGGAUGUAAAUGACACACGCGGGGCAGGCAAUGGUGAAUCAGGCCCUAUGAAGGUAGGUGAAAUUCUGCCAGCUGCCCAACCUAUCGACUCCCCUUCAUUCCUGUUAACUACAUUCUAGCUCCCCCUCCUUCAGUGGAACGAGCCACUGAGCUCAGGCAAGUGGUAGGAACCACAGCAGCUGACAGUGAGAGCAGGACUGCAGCUUUUCUAGCUGUAGCCUUGUGCCUG